ACCCCACUAUGCCUGAAAAUUAACUAUGACAGACACCACCAACUGUUCGCCAGAACAUUACGGGCGAAAGCCUAAAACUCAAAAGACUUGACGGUAUUCCACCUGCCUAGAGGAGCCUGUUCCAUAAUCGAUAACCCACGUUAAACCCGACCACUUAUUGAAACAUCAGCCUAUAUACCGCCGUCGUCAGCUUAUCUUUUGAAAGUAAAAACAUAAGCCCAAUAGUAAUAUACUAAAAAGUCAGGUCAAGGUGUAGCUUAUAAAGUGGAGGCAAUGGGCUACAUUAUCUAUAAAAGAUUCACGAAUUUUAUUUUUAAAUAAAAUAAAUAAAGGUGGAUUUAGUAGUAAGCUAGACAAGAAAAUCUAACUAAACCUCAGCCCUGGAACAUGUACACACCGCCCG
This 403-nucleotide ribosomal RNA is filed under the name Alopoglossus vallensis. RNAcentral's name for it is "partial small subunit ribosomal RNA". It matches the Rfam family "Bacterial small subunit ribosomal RNA", at positions 784 to 1396 of the family's 1533-position model. The record is from RNAcentral. Lineage: Eukaryota; Metazoa; Chordata; Lepidosauria; Squamata; Alopoglossidae.